Long non-coding RNA from Topomyia yanbarensis, 490 nucleotides. RefSeq lists it as uncharacterized. The transcript is spliced from 2 exons. The record is from RefSeq and is a predicted model, not a curated record. NCBI's taxonomy places the organism in Eukaryota, Metazoa, Arthropoda, Insecta, Diptera, Culicidae.
CGAAAUCAACACCAUCUGUGCAAACGAUGAGAACGUGUGUCUUCAACACUUAACCAAAUCAACGAAAAUCUUAACGGAACACUAUAUAAUCUCGGUGUCUCGCAGCAGAAUCUUCACUUUCAAUUCUAUUCUUCUGAGUAUAGUUGUGCCUAAAAUCCAAACAAAAUGAAGCUCAUUCUGGUGCUCGCGAUGCUGAUGGUCGUUGCCUACGCUGCUGCCGAUGAAUCUCUGGAAGAGCAACUGCUAGCAAUUCAGAAGUCCAUCGACAUUAACCCGGAACUGGCCAACGGUUGGCUGAGCAAAGCUUUCAAAUGGGUGAAAAACAAUGCUGGAACUAUCGGAUCGAUUGCUGGUGCAGUUUUAGGUUAACCAGCUUUCUUGGGAAUACUUGGAUUGGAGAUGGCUAAUCGUCAUUUAUUUGAAUGCUGCACACAGAACAUUCCUAAAAAAUCUGUUUGUCACCGCAAAUAAAUAACUACCGGAGAGAAAA